ACUCAAAGGAAUAGACGGGGACCCGCACAAGCGGUGGAGCAUGUGCUUUAAUUCGAUGCAACGCGAAGAACCUUACCCGGUCUUGACAUAGUUCUGACCGUUCCAGAGAUGGGACUUUCAGCAAUGACAGGACAUACAGAUGCUGCAUGGUUGUCGUCAGCUCGUGUCGUGAGAUGUUGGGUUAAGUCCCGCAACGAGCGCAACCCUUGCCGAUAGUUACCAUCAUUAAGUUGGGGACUCUAUCGGGACUGCCUUCGCAAGGAGGAGGAAGGUGGGGAUGACGUCAAAUCAUCAUGGCUCUUACGACCGGGGCUAGACACGUGCUACAAUGGUGACUACAAAGGGCUGCUACCUGGCAACAGGAUGCCAAUCUCAAAAAAGUCAUCUCAGUUCGGAUUGAGGUCUGCAACUCGACCUCAUGAAGUUGGAAUCGCUAGUAAUCGUGGGUCAGCAUACCACGGUGAAUACGUUCCCGGGUCUUGUACACACCGCCCGU
Molecule: ribosomal RNA, 496 nt
Filed under: uncultured bacterium
Lineage: Bacteria
Description: bacterial SSU rRNA
Rfam family: Bacterial small subunit ribosomal RNA
Source: RNAcentral